RNAcentral lists this ribosomal RNA (446 nucleotides) under uncultured bacterium. RNAcentral describes it as "bacterial SSU rRNA". It matches the Rfam family "Bacterial small subunit ribosomal RNA", at positions 331 to 793 of the family's 1533-position model. The record is from RNAcentral.
CCAGACUCCUACGGGAGGCAGCAGUGGGGGAUAUUGCACAAUGGGGGAAACCCUGAUGCAGCGACGCCGCGUGUGGGAAGACGGUCCUCUGGAUUGUAAACCACUGUCCCCAGGGACGAAGAUGACGGUACCUGGGGAGGAAGCUCCGGCUAACUACGUGCCAGCAGCCGCGGUAAUACGUAGGGAGCAAGCGUUGUCCGGAUUUACUGGGUGUAAAGGGAGCGCAGGCGGCACGCUAAGCCUGAUGUGAAAACCCGCGGCCCAACCGCGGGAGUGCAUUGGGAACUGGCGAGCUAGAGUACCGGAGGGGCAGGCGGAAUUCCUAGUGUAGCGGUGAAAUGCGUAGAUAUUAGGAGGAACACCAGUGGCGAAGGCGGCCUGCUGGACGGAGACUGACGCUGAGGCUCGAAAGCGUGGGGAGCAAACAGGAUUAGAUACCCUCGUAC